Molecule: transfer RNA, 66 nt
Filed under: Marmota monax (woodchuck)
Lineage: Eukaryota; Metazoa; Chordata; Mammalia; Rodentia; Sciuridae
Description: tRNA.Ala
Rfam family: tRNA
About the family: Transfer RNA (tRNA) molecules are approximately 80 nucleotides in length. Their secondary structure includes four short double-helical elements and three loops (D, anti-codon, and T loops). Further hydrogen bonds mediate the characteristic L-shaped molecular structure. tRNAs have two regions of fundamental functional importance: the anti-codon, which is responsible for specific mRNA codon recognition, and the 3' end, to which the tRNAs corresponding amino acid is attached (by aminoacyl-tRNA synthetases). tRNAs cope with the degeneracy of the genetic code in two manners: having more than one tRNA (with a specific anti-codon) for a particular amino acid; and 'wobble' base-pairing, i.e. permitting non-standard base-pairing at the 3rd anti-codon position.
Source: RNAcentral
GGUGUAGCUCAGUGGUAGAGCAUGUGCUUAGCAUGUGCAAGGCUCUGGGUUCCAUUCCCAGUACCA